ACUUCUUCCCAUUAAUGUCAUAAACAUAGAUACCCUCAGAUUUCUCUACGACUAGAGGAUGCAAAUCAGUACUCUGCCACCCAGCAGUGAAUGGCGCCAACAUAUCAUGCCCCUUAUAACCUCCACCAUCCCUGGAAUUGGUGGUUGAAUCUACCUUCUGCAAAGAUGCCUCUGUACUAUAAAAUUUGGCCAGGAAAGGAGCCUGAA
This 207-nucleotide unclassified non-coding RNA is filed under the name Hevea brasiliensis (rubber tree). Lineage: Eukaryota; Viridiplantae; Streptophyta; Magnoliopsida; Malpighiales; Euphorbiaceae. The record is from RNAcentral.